Molecule: non-coding RNA, 216 nt
Organism: Vicia faba (fava bean)
Lineage: Eukaryota; Viridiplantae; Streptophyta; Magnoliopsida; Fabales; Fabaceae
Source: the annotation of a GenBank genome assembly
AUGGAAUCACAGAAAGUGAAGGUUGAUGAAGAAGAGAUUCUGGAGGUUUCAGAGAGAGAAAGAAUUGAGACCAAGAUUUAUUGGUUCUUCCCCGAGAAGAAAUUCAGAGAGAGAGUUAAAAAAAAUUGGUUUCCUGCAGUCUUUAUGGUUGGAAUUAUAAUGCACAGUGCAAGAGCAAUUGGACGCAUCUUACAGCAGCUUGUGUAUCACAAAUGA